AGGUUAAGCAAGAAAGGGCGCAGGGUGGAUGCCUUGGCACUGAGAGCCGAAGAAAGACGUGAUAAGCUGCGAUAAGCAGCGGUGAGGAGCAAAUAUCCGAUGACCCGCUGAUUUCUGAAUGGGGAAACCCGGCUGAGCAACCCUCAGUCACCAUAUGCUGAAUACAUAGGUAUAUGGAGGGAACCCGCUGAACUGAAACAUCUAAGUAGGCGGAGGAAGAGAAAGAAACAUCGAUUCUGUGAGUAGCGGCGAGCGAAAACGGAAGAGCCUAAACCGGAGCGCGUGCGUUCCGGGGUUCGGACUGCGACAUGUGAGCAAUAGGAUAACAGAACAGUCUGGGAAGUCAGACCAGAGAGGGUGAAAGUCCCGUAUGUGAAAUCCGAGUUGCAGCUAGCAGGAUCCAGAGUACCACGAGACACGAGAAACCUUGUGGGAAGGCAGGGAGACCACUCCCUAAGGCUAAAUACUACUCAGUGACCGAUAGCGCAUAGUACUGUGAAGGAAAGGUGAAAAGGACCCCGGGAGGGGAGUGAAAGAGAACCUGAAACCCUGUGUCUACAAGCUGUGGAAGAUCUUUACAUGAUCAACCGCGUACUUUUUGUAGAACGGUCCGGCGAGUUGCCAUGUCUGGCAAGGUUAAGUACUUAAGGUACGGAGCCGAAGUGAAAGCAAGUGUUAACAGCACGUAAAGUCAGACCGGGCAGACCCGAAACCGGGUGAUCUACCCAUGUCCAGGUUGAAGUUGCCGUAAAAGGCAAUGGAGGACCGAACGCACAUCCGUUGAAAAGGGUGGCGAUGAGGUGUGGGUAGGGGAGAAAUUCCAAUCGAACCCGGAGAUAGCUGGUUCUCCUCGAAAUAGCUUUAGGGCUAGCCUCAUAUUAGUCUUGCGGAGGUAGAGCACUGAAUAUCCUAGGGGGCGUCAAAGCUUACCGAAGAUUAUCAAACUCCGAAUGCCGUAAAGAUGAUGUAUGGGAGUCAGACUGCACGAGAUAAGUUGGGUAGUCAAAAGGGAAAGAGCCCAGACCUACAGCUAAGGUCCCAAAGUACGUGUUAAGUGGAAAAGGAUGUGGGAUUUCGAAGACAACUAGGAUGUUGGCUCAGAAGCAGCCAUACAUUCAAAGAGUGCGUAAUAGCUCACUAGUCGAGAGGUCCUGCGCCGAAAAUGUCCGGGGCUGAAACACGACACCGAAGCUUAGGAAUCGAAAGAUUGGUAGAGGAGCAUUGAAUACGGAACGAAGCAGUACCGGAAGGAGCUGUGGACUGUAUUGAAGAGAGAAUGCCGGAAUGAGUAGCGAGAUUUAAGUGAGAAUCUUAAAGGCCGAAUAUCUAAGGUUUCCAGGGUAAAGCUGAUCUUCCCUGGGUAAGUCGGGGCCUAAGGCGAGGACGAAAGUCGUAGUCGAUGGAUAACAGGUUGAAAUUCCUGUACCGCAUAUAUUCAGAAAUGUGGGGACACAGAUGGAGAGUACAGCCCGGGAAUGGAUAGACCGGGGCAAGCGAGGUAGGAGAAUGGCAGGCAAAUCCACCAUUCAAUCUGAAGACGUGACGCGUACCGAACAAGAGUAGGGAAGUGUAUGAGCCAGCUGUCGAGAAAAGCCGCUAUUGUGAUAUAUGCGCCCGUACCGUAAACCGACACAGGUGGAUGAGGAGAGAAUCCUAAGGCCGGCGGGAGAAGUGUUGUUAAGGAACUCGGCAAAAUGACCCCGUAACUUCGGGAGAAGGGGUGCCUCGGAAGAGGCCGCAGAGAAAUGGCCCAAGCAACUGUUUAGCAAAAACAUAGGUCUAUGCAAAACCGAAAGGUGAGGUAUAUGGGCUGACGCCUGCCCGGUGCUGGAAGGUUAAGAGGAGAGCUUAGCGCAAGCGAAGGUUUGAAUUUAAGCCCCAGUAAACGGCGGCCGUAACUAUAACGGUCCUAAGGUAGCGAAAUUCCUUGUCGGGUAAGUUCCGACCCGCACGAAAGGCGUAAUGAUUUGGGCACUGUCUCAACAACACACCCGGUGAAAUUGAAAUACCAGUGAAGAUGCUGGUUACCUGCGCCAGGACGGAAAGACCCCAUGGAGCUUUACUCCAGCUUGAUACUGGGAUUCGGUACUACCUGUACAGGAUAGGUGGGAGGCUUCGAUCACGGGACGCCAGUUUCGUGUGAGCCGCUGUUGGGAUACCACCCUUGUAGUACUGGAUUCCUAACCUACAGCCGUGAACCGGCUGGGGGACAAUGUCUGGCGGGGAGUUUGACUGGGGCGGUCGCCUCCGAAAGGGUAUCGGAGGCGCUCAAAGGUUCCCUCAGAAUGGUUGGAAACCAUUCGAAGAGUGCAAAGGCAGAAGGGAGCUUGACUGCGACACCGACGGGUGGAGCAGGUACGAAAGUAGGACUUAGUGAUCCGGUGGUAUAAAGUGGGAUUGCCAUCGCUCAACGGAUAAAAGCUACCCUGGGGAUAACAGGCUUAUCACUCCCAAGAGUUCACAUCGACGGAGUGGUUUGGCACCUCGAUGUCGGCUCAUCGCAUCCUGGAGCUGUAGCAGGUUCCAAGGGUUGGGCUGUUCGCCCAUUAAAGCGGUACGCGAGCUGGGUUCAGAACGUCGUGAGACAGUUCGGUCCCUAUCCGGCGUGGGCGUAGGAUAUUUGAGAGGAGCUGUCCUUAGUACGAGAGGACCGGGAUGGACGGACCGCUGGUGUAUCUGUUGUUGUACCAACAGCAUGGCAGAGUAGCCAAGUCCGGCAGGGAUAAACGCUGAAGGCAUCUAAGCGUGAAGCCCCCCUCAAGAUAAGAUAUCCCAUCAUAAGAGUAAGACCCCUUGAAGACUACAAGGUUGAUAGGCUUGGAGUGUAAUCGUGGCAACACGUUCAGCUGACAAGUACUAAUAGGUCGAGGGCUUAUCCUUAG
Molecule: ribosomal RNA, 2882 nt
Filed under: Clostridium sp. AM42-36
Lineage: Bacteria; Bacillati; Bacillota; Clostridia; Eubacteriales; Clostridiaceae
Also listed under: 1 other name
Description: bacterial LSU rRNA
Rfam family: Bacterial large subunit ribosomal RNA
Source: RNAcentral